UACGAAGGGUGCAAGCGUUGCUCGGAAUUAUUGGGCGUAAAGGGUAGGUAGGUGGUGAUAAAAGUCUGAAGUGAAAUCCCUAAGCUUAACUUAGGACGUGCUUUGGAAACUUUAUCACUAGAGUACUAGAGAGGUUCGUGGAAUUCCUGGUGUAGCGGUGAAAUGCGUAGAGAUCAGGAGGAACAUCAGCGGCGAAGGCGGCGAACUGGAUAGUAACUGACACUCAACUACGAAAGCGUGGGGAGCAAACAGG
RNAcentral lists this ribosomal RNA (253 nucleotides) under uncultured bacterium. RNAcentral's name for it is "partial 16S ribosomal RNA". It matches the Rfam family "Bacterial small subunit ribosomal RNA", at positions 524 to 776 of the family's 1533-position model. The record is from RNAcentral.